GUCAACGUUAUAAACCAGUAAACUCUAGAAAACGAACAUCGUCUUCAAGUGGUCAGAUGCUGUUUUAGUUUCGAUUUGAGGGUGUUUAUCUACUUUCUGUGAGUUACACUAAGUAGAGCGGUUAUGUUUGCAAUACAGAAACGUUAGGUGGAGACACGUCCAUUUGAUGCAGGAUGUCCUUUAUAUAAAGCGAAACAACUUUCCACACACACACAAGAAACCAAAUCUGCUGCUAACAGACUCGCGACGGAUGCUAGUGCUAGCAUCAGUGUUGCGGGUGUGUUAUAAACAACAGAGAGGGUCAUUACUGUCACUGCACACGUGUAUUAAUCUUUAUUAUCGUGUAGCAUGACAUCCUCGACACAUUUGAUGAUCUUUAUUUGAUGUGUGUGGUGUUAUAAACUCGGAGGCAUCGGCUAAGUCGCGUCUUUGUGUCAUUUUUCUUAGUAAUGAACGCAGACGUAUUUACCGGUGUGUUUGGCUUAAGUUACUGCAAACAGUUUCAGUCCCGUGUUUCAGACACAAAUGAUUCCUCAUCAUGUGUUCCCGUGUGCUGCUGAGGAUAGACGUGCUGUUAUUUAAAGUGACCAGACUUAUGGUUUCACCUGCUUGACGAUGAAUCGAGUGAAAAGUCCGUCUGAAACAUUUCUACAGACCAGAAUAUGACAGAGCCUGCGUCACAAUGUGCAUAAUAUCGAUCCAAAAUUUUAUGUGAUUAGUAAUUUUCAAUAUUAUUUAUGGCAGAUAGGGUGGAUAGUAUGCACAUUGGGACGCAGGCAGAUACUUUUUCAUAUCAGUCAUGUGGGGUCUUUUGACCAGUAAACAUCCACCCACUCAGAGCACACAGAGUAGGAACUAACAUUAACCAUUACUCGCACACUAACCUGUAUUUGAUAUUGAUUUUUGCUACUAAAAUUAAAAGGACGAGUUGUAUCGUUGGAUAACACUCCUUCACUCCAUCACUCAUGUUGUGUUUCCUGAUCCUCAGAUGGCCUUACACAGCUGGAACUGGAGCAGAUAUCUUGAGCUGUCAACAUUUCUCUGAUCUUUCCAAUUGUCAUUGGAAACUUCAGAUGCAGAAGAUCACGACUGCAGUGACAAUCCACAGAGAUCCAACAACAGCAGAAACCAGCACUAUCAGAGAUACAGAGACUGGAGGAACUGAAGAAGAGUAAAAGAGAGACAGUCAUGAAUGUAAGUGAUUGAAUCAGUCUGAUCUACAAGAGAAGACAGAGAUAGACAUAUAUCAGCUCUACUGUACCUGGACAUUGUUGACAGAGUUGAGUGAUGUCCAGAUGUGUGGUCUGGUUUGUGAUGGGAUUGUUGAUCACACAGCUGUAGCUGUUUUUCUCCUGAUAUUCCACCUCCAGAGGUAGAGAGAGACUGAUGCUGAGAUCAGACACACUGAUGCUGGACAAUAAACUGUUUCCUUUGUACCAGGAGAGAGUCACAUGACCCACAUUCACCACUGAACACAACAAUGAACAAUUCUGCUGUGAUGAAGAUGAUGAUGAAGAACAUUGUGAAGAGUUACUGCUGAUGACAGGAACAGGUAGAGGAGCUGAAUAAAAUGUGAGAAAAAGAGGAAAAUGAACAAAAAUUUCAUUUUCAACAUUGUGAAUUGUAGUGAAUCUGUUAAUUUAGUGCUGAAUUAUUGUUUAGUGUGUUAAUGGUAACUUAAUGUUUCUGUCAUCUGAGUUUGUAACUAGAAUAUGUGAACAUUUCAACAAUUGAUCUCUGCUCACCAUAGACAGAAACAUUGAAUGUUUUGGUUGUGUCUUUUACUCCACUUAUCUCUACUUCAUAGAGUCCAGUGUGUUGAGUUGUGAUGUUUGUGAUGUUUAGAGAUCCAGUUUGAUCAUCCAGCUUCAGUCUGUCUCUGAAUCUCCCGUCAAGAACAUCAGAUAAGAAGAUUGGUUUCUUUUUGCUCAUUCUAGCAAUUUGAGACCUUCCAGCUCCAUAUCUCCACAGUAUGUAAUCACCUUCAUGUAUUUCAGUAAGAUCAGUGUUUAGAGUGACUGAAUCUCCCUCCGUCACUGAAACUGAUUCACUAAACACACCUGAUGAACAGAUACGGAUUAAAUCCUCUGAUGGUUUACAAAUCGUGAAAUCAGCUUCAUUUACACAAAGUUGAGUGAAGUUGAGAACAGCAGCAGAAACCCGCUACUGUUAUCAGUACAGAGAGAAUCAAGCAGACAGAGAAAACACUGAAGCAGCACUUACAGAUUGCUGGAAAUAGAUUUAAAAUAGCAAUUAAUAGAGUAUAUGGCAGCAUAAUUUAUGAAACGGGAGAAAAACUUCAUAUAACGAGCUACAACAACCCUGAGCCCCCUUCACAGAAGCUUAAUGCUACAGUUCUAUCACAAGAACGAUCUGUUUCAAAAAUUUCAUUUUAAACACAGUAGAUUAUUAUAGUAUUCCUAUUUAAUGAAUUAAACACAUCAAUGCAUGAAUCCCAGAUAUAAACAGCAACUUUUGCAUUCAAGCUAAUCACAUUCAGGAGUUAUAUGUAAUGGUGGUUUAAAUGUAAGUUUUAUUCCGAAGUUUAAAGUCUGGUACAACAGAAACUAUAAAAUAAACCUUGAUUUAAUCUAGAUUCAAGAUUAAUGCUUAUUGGUGCAACAUCGUUCAUCUUAAUUUUUUUGUAAAGUGCAAAGGGGAAAUCAGUGUUUACAUUUUCAUAAUCUAUUGACAAUGAAUACAUGAUAAUUUUAUGCGGAUUGAAAGUACAGUUUAAUUUGCGCUGAUUAUUUUAGAUACUUGUAUUGUAUUUUUAAAAGGACAAAAAUGGCCUUAUGUUUGAAAGAGGCUCAACGGAAAGUUCACACUUUCUGAACAUUUACAUUCAUUGU
Long non-coding RNA from Carassius auratus (goldfish), 2852 nucleotides. The record is from Ensembl. NCBI's taxonomy places the organism in Eukaryota, Metazoa, Chordata, Actinopteri, Cypriniformes, Cyprinidae.